AAAUCUUGACCUGAUAAAGCAUAGCAAGCAGUCAGUACACAGCCUUGAAGUCGAAGCCGUGAGGUUAGAUUUAAGCGUAGGCAAUGGAGUAUGAGAGCCGCAAUGCGAAAGCGUGAAGCUAUAGAGCUCCGUAAUUUAUGUUGUUAGCGGAAGUCGAUGCAGUCAUUGUUGCAGCAGACAGCAUCAGCAGAUUCGUUAGGCGAGAAACUGCUGAUUCCACCGGGGUCCGAGGG
This 233-nucleotide non-coding RNA is filed under the name Ruminococcus callidus. Lineage: Bacteria; Bacillati; Bacillota; Clostridia; Eubacteriales; Oscillospiraceae. The record is from RNAcentral.